RNAcentral lists this small RNA (1167 nucleotides) under Oryza sativa Japonica Group (Japanese rice). RNAcentral's name for it is "sRNA Os07g0545550". Lineage: Eukaryota; Viridiplantae; Streptophyta; Magnoliopsida; Poales; Poaceae. The record is from RNAcentral.
UUGCUUUUACUGGAGCAACUUUUGAUGCUUCCUUCACCUCCUUGCACACCUUGUCCAGCAUUGCAAGGAAAUCUCUUACUAUCACAAAUAACCGGAGGCCCUCAUCCUUUCCUGCACUUCCAUGGAAAUAGUCGACGGUGUCUUUAACCAAUAACCGCAUUUUCUUCUCUUCCUCCAGCAAGAAAGUAAUAUCAGUCUGAGACUGCUGUACGAAGUGCGUAAGCUUGCGGUGAAACCCACUGUCUUCGUCCAAACUUUUCAUGUCCAUGUUCAAGAAUUCAUUGGUUUUCAUGAGCUUGUGGCCAAGACUUGCUACCGACAUAGUCAAUUGAUCCGCGUCUAGGAUAGCUGCCUUUCUAACAUCUUGAAGUUCAUCUCCUAAGCUGGAGAUAACUUUCAGCCCCAGUUGUUUGUAACCGUCUUCAGUUUGCUCACUUUUGUCACCUAGAUCAUCAGUCUUCACACUGGAAACGCCACUGUUCUGCUCCUUUGCAGCCCGUUCAGCACGGACACCUUCGGAACGAAUGAUUUCCUGAACAACAAAAUGCAAUAGUGUUGUCUUUCCGUCAGUUCCUUUGACAUCAGACAACUUGAGGAGCGUGUCGAGUCUAAAAGCCUGAGCUCCACCACGGAAAGUGCCAACAUUCAUCCGAUUUCCGGUUUUGAGGACAGCUUCUAGUAACUUCAUAAAAAGACGGCUGUUUCUAAGCUCCUGGCAAGCCACCUGAUUGGGAUUGAAAAAGCUUCUUCUGGUAAAUUGGCCAUGAAAAGCAAUGCAUCUAAGCGCUGGAAAAUAUAAGGAAUAUCUAUGAUUACUCUUAAGAAUUGCUCUGCAGGACCAAGUUGAAAGAGUUCCCCACUGUAUAAUCGAAGCCUGAGCUCCUCAUCAUUACUUGGGGACCAUCUUAUUAAGGUCUCACCCACCUUAGCGCCUGGCUUAAGAGGUGGCGGUGGGCGUGUUUUCGAAGAACCAGGCAUGGCUGGCGGUGGCGGGCGAGGUGGGCCAGGGCCAGUAGAUUUUGGUGGUGGCGGUGGAGGUGCAGCUUUUGGAGCAGGAGGUGGUGAAGGUUCUGGGGGAGGAACAGGAGAAGCCUUUAAUGGUGGCAUGGGAGCUUGGGGUGCUGGUGGAGAAAGAAGCUUCGGAAUUGGAGGUGGCAUCACAGGAGG